GGCUACGGCCACACCUCCUGAGCACGCCCGAUCUCGUCUGAUCUCGGAAGCUAAGCAGGGUCGGGCCCGGUUAGUACUGGAUGGAGACGCCUGGGAAUACCAGGUGCGGUAAGCC
This 115-nucleotide ribosomal RNA is filed under the name Esox lucius (northern pike). The record is from RNAcentral. Lineage: Eukaryota; Metazoa; Chordata; Actinopteri; Esociformes; Esocidae.